CCUACGGGGGGCAGCAGUGAGGAAUAUUGGUCAAUGGCCGAAAGGCUGAACCAGCCAAGUCGCGUGAGGGAAGACGGCCCUACGGGUUGUAAACCUCUUUUGUCCGGGAGUAAAGCUGUUCACGUGUGGAUGUUUGCGGGUACCGCAUGAAUAAGGACCGGCUAACUCCGUGCCAGCAGCCGCGGUAAUACGGAGGGUGCGAGCGUUAUCCGGAUUUAUUGGGUUUAAAGGGUGCGAAGGCGGUGGUGAAAGCGAGCGGUAAAAUUGGGGGCCUCAACCCGGGAGUGCCGGUGAAACUGGAUACCUUGAGUGCGCGGAAGGCAGGCGGAAUGCGUGGUGUAGCGGUGAAAUGCAUAGAUAUCACGAAGAACUCCGAUUGCGAAGGCAGCAUGCCGCAGCGUAACUGACGCUGAGGCUCGAAAGCGUGGGUAUCGAACAGGAUUAGAUACCCCUGUAGUC
RNAcentral lists this ribosomal RNA (459 nucleotides) under uncultured bacterium. RNAcentral describes it as "partial 16S ribosomal RNA". It matches the Rfam family "Bacterial small subunit ribosomal RNA", at positions 338 to 795 of the family's 1533-position model. The record is from RNAcentral.